ACGGAAGGCAGCAGUGGGGAAUAUUGGGCAAUGGGCGCAAGCCUGACCCAGCAACGCCGCGUGAAGGAAGAAGGCUUUCGGGUUGUAAACUUCUUUUGUGAGGGAAGAGGAGAAGACUGUACCUCAUGAAUAAGCCACGGCUAACUACGUGCCAGCAGCCGCGGUAAUACGUAGGCGGCAAGCGUUAUCCGGAUUUACUGGGUGUAAAGGGCGCGUAGGCGGGAAGGCAAGUCAGGUGUGAAAUCUAUGGGCUUAACCCAUAAACUGCACUUGAAACUGUCUUUCUUGAGUGCUGGAGAGGUAGACGGAAUUCCUUGUGUAGCGGUGAAAUGCGUAGAUAUAAGGAAGAACACCAGUGGCGAAGGCGGUCUACUGGACAGUAACUGACGCUGAGGCGCGAAAGCGUGGGGAGCAAACAGGAUUAGAUACCCUGGUA
This 436-nucleotide ribosomal RNA is filed under the name uncultured Oscillospiraceae bacterium. RNAcentral's name for it is "bacterial SSU rRNA". It matches the Rfam family "Bacterial small subunit ribosomal RNA", at positions 341 to 792 of the family's 1533-position model. Lineage: Bacteria; Bacillati; Bacillota; Clostridia; Eubacteriales; Oscillospiraceae. The record is from RNAcentral.